Molecule: ribosomal RNA, 253 nt
Filed under: uncultured bacterium
Lineage: Bacteria
Also listed under: 1 other name
Description: partial 16S ribosomal RNA
Rfam family: Archaeal small subunit ribosomal RNA
Source: RNAcentral
UACCAGCACCUCGAGUGGUUAGGAGGUUUAUUGGGCCUAAAGCAUCCGUAGCCGGCUAUGCAAGUCUCCGGUCAAAUCCAACUGCUUAACAGAUGGGCCGCCGGAGAUACUACAUAGCUAGGGAGCGGGAGAGGUAGACGGUACUCUGUGGGUAGGGGUAAAAUCCACUGAUCCAUAGAAGACCACCAGUGGCGAAGGCGGUCUACCAGAACGCGUUCGACGGUGAGGGAUGAAAGCUGGGGGAGCAAACCGG